RNAcentral lists this ribosomal RNA (900 nucleotides) under Stemphylium vesicarium. RNAcentral's name for it is "partial large subunit ribosomal RNA". It matches the Rfam family "Eukaryotic large subunit ribosomal RNA", at positions 52 to 969 of the family's 3401-position model. The record is from RNAcentral. Lineage: Eukaryota; Fungi; Ascomycota; Dothideomycetes; Pleosporales; Pleosporaceae.
UAANGGGGAGAGACCAACAGGGAUUGCCCUAGUAACGGCGAGUGAAGCGGCAACAGCUCAAAUUUGAAAUCUGGCUCUUUUAGGGUCCGAGUUGUAAUUUGCAGAGGGCGCUUUGGCUUUGGCAGCGGUCCAAGUUCCUUGGAACAGGACGUCACAGAGGGUGAGAAUCCCGUACGUGGUCGCUAGCUAUCGCCGUGUAAAGCCCCUUCGACGAGUCGAGUUGUUUGGGAAUGCAGCUCUAAAUGGGAGGUAAAUUUCUUCUAAAGCUAAAUAUUGGCCAGAGACCGAUAGCGCACAAGUAGAGUGAUCGAAAGAUGAAAAGCACUUUGGAAAGAGAGUCAAACAGCACGUGAAAUUGUUGAAAGGGAAGCGCUUGCAGCCAGACUUGCUUGCAGUUGCUCAUCCGGGCUUUUGCCCGGUGCACUCUUCUGUAGGCAGGCCAGCAUCAGUUUGGGCGGUGGGAUAAAGGUCUCUGUCACGUACCUCUCUUCGGGGAGGCCUUAUAGGGGAGACGACAUACCACCAGCCUAGACUGAGGUCCGCGCAUCUGCUAGGAUGCUGGCGUAAUGGCUGUAAGCGGCCCGUCUUGAAACACGGACCAAGGAGUCUAACAUCUAUGCGAGUGUUUGGGUGUCAAGCCCGAGCGCGUAAUGAAAGUGAACGGAGGUGGGAACCCGCAAGGGUGCACCAUCGACCGAUCCUGAAGUUUUCGGAAGGAUUUGAGUAAGAGCAUGGCUGUUGGGACCCGAAAGAUGGUGAACUAUGCUUGAAUAGGGUGAAGCCAGAGGAAACUCUGGUGGAGGCUCGCAGCGGUUCUGACGUGCAAAUCGAUCGUCAAAUUUGGGCAUACGGGCGAAAGACUAAUCGAACGAUAGAAAUCGCUGGAUACAACCGAGAUUU